This 301-nucleotide ribosomal RNA is filed under the name uncultured bacterium. RNAcentral describes it as "partial 16S ribosomal RNA". It matches the Rfam family "Bacterial small subunit ribosomal RNA", at positions 509 to 809 of the family's 1533-position model. The record is from RNAcentral.
CAGCAGCCGCGGUAAUACGAAGGGGGCUAGCGUUGUUCGGAAUUAUUGGGCGUAAAGGGUGCGUAGGCGGUUUGAUAAGUCAUCUGUGAAAUCUCUGGGCUCAACCCAGAGUCUGCAGGCGAAACUGUCGGGCUUGAGUAUGGGAGAGGUGAGUGGAAUUUCCGGUGUAGCGGUGAAAUGCGUAGAUAUCGGAAGGAACACCUGUGGCGAAAGCGGCUCACUGGACCAUAACUGACGCUGAUGCACGAAAGCUAGGGGAGCAAACAGGAUUAGAUACCCGCGUAGUCCCUGUCUCUUAUAA